UACGGAGGGGACUAGCGUUGUUCGGAAUUACUGGGCGUAAAGCGCACGUAGGCGGAUUUGUAAGUCAGGGGUGAAAUCCCGGGGCUCAACCCCGGAACUGCCUUUGGUACUGCGAAUCUCGAGUCCGGAAGAGGUGAGUGGAAUUCCUAGUGUAGAGGUGAAAUUCGUAGAUAUUAGGAAGAACACCAGUGGCGAAGGCGGCUCACUGGUCCGGUACUGACGCUGAGGUGCGAAAGCGUGGGGAGCAAACAGG
RNAcentral lists this ribosomal RNA (253 nucleotides) under uncultured bacterium. RNAcentral's name for it is "partial 16S ribosomal RNA". It matches the Rfam family "Bacterial small subunit ribosomal RNA", at positions 524 to 776 of the family's 1533-position model. The record is from RNAcentral.